CCAAGUUAGUGAGCUGCAAUUUGUCUUUAUGCUUGUGAAAGGUAAUCAUUGUGUAUCAUCGUAUGAUGUCAAAGUGAACAGAUUUAUAGGAAAAGACAUUAAUUCAUUGAGGAGGAUACAAUAGAGAAAAGUGUGCAGUGGCUUGAUACAGGAUAUAGACCAGCACAAUAGCAAGGUGUUAUUUCAAUACAAAGAUAACCAGCACAUAAAAUAUGAGGAGGGAAAUCUAAAGAUUGAACAACAUAAAACCACCUAAAGCUCACUGCACUAAGGGGAGAAAUAAAGUGUUGU
Mytilus trossulus (common blue mussel) is the source of this 291-nucleotide long non-coding RNA. RefSeq lists it as uncharacterized. NCBI's taxonomy places the organism in Eukaryota, Metazoa, Mollusca, Bivalvia, Mytilida, Mytilidae. The transcript has 3 exons. The record is from RefSeq and is a predicted model, not a curated record.